AGUGGCGGACGGGUGAGUAACGCGUGAGAAUUGCCUUGGGGUCGGGGACAACCACUGGAAACGGUGGCUAAUACCGGAUAAGCCGAUUGGUGAAAGAUUUAUUGCCCGAAGAGGAGCUCGCGUCUGAUUAGCUAGUUGGUGAGGUAAGAGCUCACCAAGGCAGCGAUCAGUAGCUGGUCUGAGAGGACGAUCAGCCACACUGGGACUGAGACACGGCCCAGACUCCUACGGGAGGCAGCAGUGGGGAAUUUUCCGCAAUGGGCGAAAGCCUGACGGAGCAAGACCGCGUGAGGGAGGAAGGCUCUUGGGUUGUAAACCUCUUUUCUCAGGGAAGAAGCUCUGACGGUACCUGAGGAAUCAGCCUCGGCUAACUCCGUGCCAGCAGCCGCGGUAAUACGGAGGAGGCAAGCGUUAUCCGGAAUUAUUGGGCGUAAAGCGUCCGCAGGUGGCGAUUCAAGUCUGCUGUCAAAGCACGGGGCUUAACUCCGUAAAGGCAGUGGAAACUGAAUAGCUAGAGUGCCGUAGGGGUAGAGGGAAUUCCCGGUGUAGCGGUGAAAUGCGUAGAGAUCGGGAAGAACAUCGGUGGCGAAAGCGCUCUACUGGACGGCAACUGACACUCAGGGACGAAAGCUAGGGGAGCGAAUGGGAUUAGAUACCCC
RNAcentral lists this ribosomal RNA (659 nucleotides) under uncultured bacterium. Its description in RNAcentral is "bacterial SSU rRNA". It matches the Rfam family "Bacterial small subunit ribosomal RNA", at positions 94 to 788 of the family's 1533-position model. The record is from RNAcentral.